RNAcentral lists this ribosomal RNA (253 nucleotides) under uncultured bacterium. RNAcentral describes it as "partial 16S ribosomal RNA". It matches the Rfam family "Bacterial small subunit ribosomal RNA", at positions 524 to 776 of the family's 1533-position model. The record is from RNAcentral.
UACGUAGGGUCCGAGCGUUGUCCGGAAUUACUGGGCGUAAAGAGCUCGUAGGUGGUUUGUCGCGUUGUUCGUGAAAACUCACAGCUUAACUGUGGGCGUGCGGGCGAUACGGGCAGACUGGAGUACUGCAGGGGAGACUGGAAUUCCUGGUGUAGCGGUGGAAUGCGCAGAUAUCAGGAGGAACACCGGUGGCGAAGGCGGGUCUCUGGGCAUUAACUGACGCUGAGGAGCGAAAGCAUGGGGAGCGAACAGG